RNAcentral lists this ribosomal RNA (2907 nucleotides) under Salmonella enterica. RNAcentral describes it as "23S ribosomal RNA". It matches the Rfam family "Bacterial large subunit ribosomal RNA". RNAcentral also lists the same sequence under 2 other names. The record is from RNAcentral. Lineage: Bacteria; Pseudomonadati; Pseudomonadota; Gammaproteobacteria; Enterobacterales; Enterobacteriaceae.
GGUUAAGCGACUAAGCGUACACGGUGGAUGCCCUGGCAGUCAGAGGCGAUGAAGGGCGUGCUAAUCUGCGAUAAGCGCCGGUAAGGUGAUAUGAACCGUUAUAACCGGCGAUACCCGAAUGGGGAAACCCAGUGUGAUUCGUCACACUAUCAUUAACUGAAUCCAUAGGUUAAUGAGGCGAACCGGGGGAACUGAAACAUCUAAGUACCCCGAGGAAAAGAAAUCAACCGAGAUUCCCCCAGUAGCGGCGAGCGAACGGGGAGGAGCCCAGAGCCUGAAUCAGCAUGUGUGUUAGUGGAAGCGUCUGGAAAGGCGCGCGAUACAGGGUGACAGCCCCGUACACAAAAGCGCAUGUGCUGUGAGCUCGAUGAGUAGGGCGGGACACGUGGUAUCCUGUCUGAAUAUGGGGGGACCAUCCUCCAAGGCUAAAUACUCCUGACUGACCGAUAGUGAACCAGUACCGUGAGGGAAAGGCGAAAAGAACCCCGGCGAGGGGAGUGAAAAAGAACCUGAAACCGUGUACGUACAAGCAGUGGGAGCACAGGUUUACCUGUGUGACUGCGUACCUUUUGUAUAAUGGGUCAGCGACUUAUAUUCUGUAGCAAGGUUAACCGUAUAGGGGAGCCGUAGGGAAACCGAGUCUUAACCGGGCGUUAAGUUGCAGGGUAUAGACCCGAAACCCGGUGAUCUAGCCAUGGGCAGGUUGAAGGUUGGGUAACACUAACUGGAGGACCGAACCGACUAAUGUUGAAAAAUUAGCGGAUGACCUGUGGCUGGGGGUGAAAGGCCAAUCAAACCGGGAGAUAGCUGGUUCUCCCCGAAAGCUAUUUAGGUAGCGCCUCGUGAACUCAUCUCCGGGGGUAGAGCACUGUUUCGGCUAGGGGGCCAUCCCGGCUUACCAACCCGAUGCAAACUGCGAAUACCGGAGAAUGUUAUCACGGGAGACACACGGCGGGUGCUAACGUCCGUCGUGAAGAGGGAAACAACCCAGACCGCCAGCUAAGGUCCCAAAGUCAUGGUUAAGUGGGAAACGAUGUGGGAAGGCCCAGACAGCCAGGAUGUUGGCUUAGAAGCAGCCAUCAUUUAAAGAAAGCGUAAUAGCUCACUGGUCGAGUCGGCCUGCGCGGAAGAUGUAACGGGGCUAAACCAUGCACCGAAGCUGCGGCAGCGACACUAUGUGUUGUUGGGUAGGGGAGCGUUCUGUAAGCCUGUGAAGGUGUGUCGUGAGGCAUGCUGGAGGUAUCAGAAGUGCGAAUGCUGACAUAAGUAACGAUAAAGCGGGUGAAAAGCCCGCUCGCCGGAAGACCAAGGGUUCCUGUCCAACGUUAAUCGGGGCAGGGUGAGUCGACCCCUAAGGCGAGGCCGAAAGGCGUAGUCGAUGGGAAACAGGUUAAUAUUCCUGUACUUGGUGUUACUGCGAAGGGGGGACGGAGAAGGCUAUGUUGGCCGGGCGACGGUUGUCCCGGUUUAAGCGUGUAGGUGUGUGUUCCAGGUAAAUCCGGUUCACUUUAACACUGAGGCGUGAUGACGAGGCACUACGGUGCUGAAGCAACAAAUGCCCUGCUUCCAGGAAAAGCCUCUAAGCAUCAGGUAACAUCAAAUCGUACCCCAAACCGACACAGGUGGUCAGGUAGAGAAUACCAAGGCGCUUGAGAGAACUCGGGUGAAGGAACUAGGCAAAAUGGUGCCGUAACUUCGGGAGAAGGCACGCUGACAUGUAGGUGAAGUGAUUUACUCAUGGAGCUGAAGUCAGUCGAAGAUACCAGCUGGCUGCAACUGUUUAUUAAAAACACAGCACUGUGCAAACACGAAAGUGGACGUAUACGGUGUGACGCCUGCCCGGUGCCGGAAGGUUAAUUGAUGGGGUCAGCGCAAGCGAAGCUCCUGAUCGAAGCCCCGGUAAACGGCGGCCGUAACUAUAACGGUCCUAAGGUAGCGAAAUUCCUUGUCGGGUAAGUUCCGACCUGCACGAAUGGCGUAAUGAUGGCCAGGCUGUCUCCACCCGAGACUCAGUGAAAUUGAACUCGCUGUGAAGAUGCAGUGUACCCGCGGCAAGACGGAAAGACCCCGUGAACCUUUACUAUAGCUUGACACUGAACAUUGAGCCUUGAUGUGUAGGAUAGGUGGGAGGCUUUGAAGCGUGGACGCCAGUCUGCGUGGAGCCGACCUUGAAAUACCACCCUUUAAUGUUUGAUGUUCUAACGUGGACCCGUAAUCCGGGUUGCGGACAGUGUCUGGUGGGUAGUUUGACUGGGGCGGUCUCCUCCUAAAGAGUAACGGAGGAGCACGAAGGUUGGCUAAUCCUGGUCGGACAUCAGGAGGUUAGUGCAAUGGCAUAAGCCAGCUUGACUGCGAGCGUGACGGCGCGAGCAGGUGCGAAAGCAGGUCAUAGUGAUCCGGUGGUUCUGAAUGGAAGGGCCAUCGCUCAACGGAUAAAAGGUACUCCGGGGAUAACAGGCUGAUACCGCCCAAGAGUUCAUAUCGACGGCGGUGUUUGGCACCUCGAUGUCGGCUCAUCACAUCCUGGGGCUGAAGUAGGUCCCAAGGGUAUGGCUGUUCGCCAUUUAAAGUGGUACGCGAGCUGGGUUUAGAACGUCGUGAGACAGUUCGGUCCCUAUCUGCCGUGGGCGCUGGAGAACUGAGGGGGGCUGCUCCUAGUACGAGAGGACCGGAGUGGACGCAUCACUGGUGUUCGGGUUGUCAUGCCAAUGGCACUGCCCGGUAGCUAAAUGCGGAAGAGAUAAGUGCUGAAAGCAUCUAAGCACGAAACUUGCCCCGAGAUGAGUUCUCCCUGAGACUUAGAGUCUCCUGAAGGAACGUUGAAGACGACGACGUUGAUAGGCCGGGUGUGUAAGCGCAGCGAUGCGUUGAGCUAACCGGUACUAAUGAACCGUGAGGCUUAACCUU